AUUGAACGCUGGCGGCAUGCUUUACACAUGCAAGUCGAACGGUAACAGGCCGCUAGGUGCUGACGAGUGGCGAACGGGUGAGUAAUGCAUCGGAACGUGCCCAGUCGUGGGGGAUAACUACUCGAAAGAGUAGCUAAUACCGCAUACGAUCUAUGGAUGAAAGCGGGGGACCGUAAGGCCUCGCGCGAUUUGAGCGGCCGAUGUCAGAUUAGUUAGUUGGUGGGGUAAAGGCUCACCAAGCCAACGAUCUGUAGCUGGUCUGAGAGGACAACCAGCCACACUGGGACUGAGACACGGCCCAGACUCCUACGGGAGGCAGCAGUGGGGAAUUUUGGACAAUGGGCGCAAGCCUGAUCCAGCAAUGCCGCGUGCAGGAAGAAGGCCUUCGGGUUGUAAACUGCUUUUGUACGGAACGAAACGGCUCUGGUUAAUACCCGGGGCUAAUGACGGUACCGUAAGAAUAAGCACCGGCUAACUACGUG
Molecule: ribosomal RNA, 482 nt
Filed under: uncultured bacterium
Lineage: Bacteria
Description: partial 16S ribosomal RNA
Rfam family: Bacterial small subunit ribosomal RNA
Source: RNAcentral